Molecule: ribosomal RNA, 466 nt
Filed under: uncultured bacterium
Lineage: Bacteria
Description: partial 16S ribosomal RNA
Rfam family: Bacterial small subunit ribosomal RNA
Source: RNAcentral
GAUGAACGCUGGCGGCGUGCUUAACACAUGCCAGUCGAACGGAAAGGCUCCUGCUUGCAGGGGUACUCGAGUGGCGAACGGGUGAGUAACACGUGGGUGAUCUGCCCUGCACUUCGGGAUAAGCCUGGGAAACUGGGUCUAAUACCGGAUAGGACGAUGGUUUGGAUGCCAUUGUGGAAAGUUUUUCGGUGUGGGAUGAGCUCGCGGCCUAUCAGCUUGUUGGUGGGGUAAUGGCCUACCAAGGCGUCGACGGGUAGCCGGCCUGAGAGGGUGUACGGCCACAUUGGGACUGAGAUACGGCCCAGACUCCUACGGGAGGCAGCAGUGGGGAAUAUUGCACAAUGGGCGCAAGCCUGAUGCAGCGACGCCGCGUGGGGGAUGACGGCCUUCGGGUUGUAAACUCCUUUCGCUAGGGACGAAGCGCAAGUGACGGUACCUGGAGAAGAAGCACCGGCUAACUACGUGC